AGUCGAACGGCAGCGCGAGAGAGCUUGCUCUCUUGGCGGCGAGUGGCGGACGGGUGAGUAAUAUAUCGGAACGUGCCCAGUAGCGGGGGAUAACUACUCGAAAGAGUGGCUAAUACCGCAUACGCCCUACGGGGGAAAGGGGGGGAUCGCAAGACCUCUCACUAUUGGAGCGGCCGAUAUCGGAUUAGCUAGUUGGUGGGGUAAAGGCUCACCAAGGCAACGAUCCGUAGCUGGUUUGAGAGGACGACCAGCCACACUGGGACUGAGACACGGCCCAGACUCAUACGGGAGGCAGCAGUGGGGAAUUUUGGACAAUGGGGGAAACCCUGAUCCAGCCAUCCCGCGUGUAUGAUGAAGGCCUUCGGGUUGUAAAGUACUUUUGGCAGAGAAAGAAAAGGUAUCCCCUAAUACGGGAUACUGCUGACGGUAUCUGCAGAAUAAGCACCGGCUAAACUACGUGCCAGCAGCCGCGGUAAUACGUAGGGUGCAAGCGUUAAUCGGAAUUACUGGGCGUAAAAGCGUGUGUAGGCGGUUCGGAAAGAAAGAUGUGAAAUCCCAGGGCUCAACCUUGGAACUGCAUUUUUAACUGCCGAGCUAGAGUAUGUCAGAGGGGGGUAGAAUUCCACGUGUAGCAGUGAAAUGCGUAGAUAUGUGGAGGAAUACCGAUGGCGAAAGCAGCCCCCUGGGAUGAUACUGACGCUCAGACACGAAAGCGUGGGGAGCAAACAGGAUUAGAUACCCUGGUAGUCCACGCCCUAAACGAUGUCAACUAGCUGUUGGGGCCGUUAGGCCUUAGUAGCGCAGCUAACGCGUGAAGUUGACCGCCUGGGGAGUACGGUCGCAAGAUUAAAACUCAAAGGAAUUGACGGGGACCCGCACAAGCGGUGGAUGAUGUGGAUUAAUUCGAUGCAACGCGAAAAACCUUACCUACCCUUGACAUGUCUGGAAAGCCGAAGAGAUUUGGCCGUGCUCGCAAGAGAACCGGAACACAGGUGCUGCAUGGCUGUCGUCAGCUCGUGUCGUGAGAUGUUGGGUUAAGUCCCGCAACGAGCGCAACCCUUGUCAUUAGUUGCUACGCAAGAGCACUCUAAUGAGACUGCCGGUGACAAACCGGAGGAAGGUGGGGAUGACGUCAAGUCCUCAUGGCCCUUAUGGGUAGGGCUUCACACGUCAUACAAUGGUCGGGACAGAGGGUCGCCAACCCGCGAGGGGGAGCCAAUCUCAGAAACCCGAUCGUAGUCCGGAUCGCAGUCUGCAACUCGACUGCGUGAAGUCGGAAUCGCUAGUAAUCGCGGAUCAGAAUGUCGCGGUGAAUACGUUCCCGGGUCUUGUACACACCGCCCGUCACACCAUGGGAGUGGGUUUCACCAGAAGUAGGUAGCCUAACCGCAAGGAGGGCGCUUACCACGGUGGGAUUCAUGACUGGGGUGAAGUCGUAAC
Molecule: ribosomal RNA, 1440 nt
Filed under: Alcaligenes faecalis
Lineage: Bacteria; Pseudomonadati; Pseudomonadota; Betaproteobacteria; Burkholderiales; Alcaligenaceae
Description: bacterial SSU rRNA
Rfam family: Bacterial small subunit ribosomal RNA
Source: RNAcentral